AUACAGGGGGAUAACAGUUAGAAAUGACUGCUAAUACCGCAUAAGACCACGGUACCGCAUGGUACAGUGGUAAAAACUCCGGUGGUAUGAGAUGGACCCGCGUCUGAUUAGGUAGUUGGUGGGGUAACGGCCUACCAAGCCGACGAUCAGUAGCCGACCUGAGAGGGUGACCGGCCACAUUGGGACUGAGACACGGCCCAGACUCCUACGGGAGGCAGCAGUGGGGAAUAUUGCACAAUGGAGGAAACUCUGAUGC
Molecule: ribosomal RNA, 256 nt
Filed under: uncultured bacterium
Lineage: Bacteria
Description: partial 16S ribosomal RNA
Rfam family: Bacterial small subunit ribosomal RNA
Source: RNAcentral